RNAcentral lists this ribosomal RNA (560 nucleotides) under uncultured bacterium. RNAcentral's name for it is "bacterial SSU rRNA". It matches the Rfam family "Bacterial small subunit ribosomal RNA", at positions 338 to 916 of the family's 1533-position model. The record is from RNAcentral.
CCUACGGGAGGCAGCAGUGGGGAAUCUUGGACAAUGGGCGCAAGCCUGAUCCAGCCAUGCCGCGUGAGUGAUGAAGGCCUUAGGGUCGUAAAGCUCUUUCGCCAGAGAUGAUAAUGACAGUAUCUGGUAAAGAAACCCCGGCUAACUCCGUGCCAGCAGCCGCGGUAAUACGGAGGGGGUUAGCGUUGUUCGGAAUUACUGGGCGUAAAGCGCGCGUAGGCGGAUUGGAAAGUUGGGGGUGAAAUCCCGGGGCUCAACCCCGGAACUGCCUCCAAAACUAUCAGUCUAGAGUUCGAGAGAGGUGAGUGGAAUUCCGAGUGUAGAGGUGAAAUUCGUAGAUAUUCGGAGGAACACCAGUGGCGAAGGCGGCUCACUGGCUCGAUACUGACGCUGAGGUGCGAAAGUGUGGGGAGCAAACAGGAUUAGAUACCCUGGUAGUCCACACCGUAAACGAUGAAUGCCAGUCGUCGGCAAGCAUGCUUGUCGGUGACACACCUAACGGAUUAAGCAUUCCGCCUGGGGAGUACGGUCGCAAGAUUAAAACUCAAAGGAAUUGACGG